RNAcentral lists this ribosomal RNA (726 nucleotides) under Triticum aestivum (bread wheat). RNAcentral describes it as "partial small subunit ribosomal RNA". The record is from RNAcentral. Lineage: Eukaryota; Viridiplantae; Streptophyta; Magnoliopsida; Poales; Poaceae.
AUGAUUAGAGACUUCUGGUGGGGAGAUGAGAAAGGACAUCGUAAGGUGCAUUGGAUGUCAUGGGAAAAGAUGACAAAGCCUAAAAGAGCGGGAGGCAUUGGUUUCAAAGAUAUGCACCUUUUUAACCAAGCACGGCUAGCUAAACAAGGUUGGAGAUUAAUCAAAUACCCGAACAGCUUGUGUGCAAGGGUACUAAAAUCUAAAUAGUACUCAAACGGUAAUCUUCUGGACACGGUGUUUGCCUCUGAUGCGUCGCCUGUAUGGAGAGCCAUUGAGUUCGGGCUUGAGCUUUUGAAGAAGGGGGUCAUUUGGAGGAUCGGAAAUGGGAGGGACAUUCAGAUUCAGAGAGAUCAAUGCAUACCAAGACGAGAGGGUUUAAAAACUGCCUCGUUCAUACACAGGUCGAGGAUCCGUUGGGUUAGCCAACUCAUGCUCCCGGGAAAGAAAGAGUGGAAUGAGGAGUUAAUUAGACAACUCUUCUUCUCUUUUGAUGCUGAUGAAAUAUGCAAGCUGAACAUCCCGUCCUCGGAUGUGGAAGACCGUUUUUCCUGGCACUAUGAAAAGAACGGAGUUUUCUCGGUGAGGAGUGCCUACAAAUUAGCUGCAGCAAGCCUUCCUCAAAUGUCCCAAAACCCGUCCAACUCCUCGAGUGAGCCAAAUGAUAGAAGCAUCUGGGAUCUCAUCUGGAAGACAAAAGUCCCCGGAAAGGUGCGUAUUUUCAGCUAG